Molecule: unclassified non-coding RNA, 240 nt
Filed under: soil metagenome
Description: partial contains 5.8S ribosomal RNA, internal transcribed spacer 2, and large subunit ribosomal RNA
Source: RNAcentral
AACUGAUACUACCUGCGGGAACCUGCGGAAGGAUCAUUACCGAGUUUACAAAACUCCCAAACCCUUUGUGAACCUUACCUAUCGUUGCUUCGGCGGGACCGCCCCGGCGCCCUCGCGGCCCGGAACCAGGCGCCCGCCGGAGGCCCCAAACCCUCAUGUCUUUAGUGGUUUCCUCCUCUGAGUGACAUAAACAAAUAAAGUAAAAACUUUCAGCAAUGGAUCUCUAGAUCGGAAGAGCAC